CACGUAGGGUGCGAGCGUUGUCCGGAAUUAUUGGGCGUAAAGAGCUCGUAGGCGGUGUGUCGCGUCGGCCGUGAAAACCUGUAGCUUAACUGUGGGCUUGCGGUCGAUACGGGCAUCACUGGAGUUCGGCAGGGGAGACUGGAAUUCCUGGUGUAGCGGUGAAAUGCGUAGAUAUCGGGAGGAACUCCAGUGGCGAAGGCGACUACCUGGCCUGUUCUUGACGCUGAGGCGCGAAAGCUAGGGGAGCAAACGGG
This 254-nucleotide ribosomal RNA is filed under the name uncultured bacterium. RNAcentral describes it as "partial 16S ribosomal RNA". It matches the Rfam family "Bacterial small subunit ribosomal RNA", at positions 524 to 776 of the family's 1533-position model. The record is from RNAcentral.